GCGACGAUAGCUCAGUGGGUAAAGCGCCAGGUGAGAAGAUGGCGAUUACUCCAAGGGCUAUUAUCUGCGCGGAGUGCGCGGGUUCGGAUCCCGCCUGUGGCA
Aromia moschata is the source of this 102-nucleotide non-coding RNA. Lineage: Eukaryota; Metazoa; Arthropoda; Insecta; Coleoptera; Cerambycidae. The record is from the annotation of a GenBank genome assembly.